RNAcentral lists this non-coding RNA (24 nucleotides) under Arabidopsis thaliana (thale cress). The record is from RNAcentral. Lineage: Eukaryota; Viridiplantae; Streptophyta; Magnoliopsida; Brassicales; Brassicaceae.
AUCGUUAAACUUCACUGGAUUAUA